AGUGAACGCUGGCGGUAGGCCUAACACAUGCAAGUCGAACGGCAGCACAGUAAGAGCUUGCUCUUACGGGUGGCGAGUGGCGGACGGGUGAGGAAUACAUCGGAAUCUACUUUUUCGUGGGGGAUAACGUAGGGAAACUUACGCUAAUACCGCAUACGACAUACGGGUGAAAGCAGGGGAUCUUCGGACCUUGCGCGAAUGAAUGAGCCGAUGUCGGAUUAGCUAGUUGGCGGGGUAAAGGCCCACCAAGGCGACGAUCCGUAGCUGGUCUGAGAGGAUGAUCAGCCACACUGGAACUGAGACACGGUCCAGACUCCUACGGGAGGCAGCAGUGGGGAAUAUUGGACAAUGGGCGCAAGCCUGAUCCAGCCAUACCGCGUGGGUGAAGAAGGCCUUCGGGUUGUAAAGCCCUUUUGUUGGGAAAGAAAAGCAGCAGGUUAAUACCCCGCUGUUCUGACGGUACCCAAAGAAUAAGCACCGGCUAACUUCGUG
This 492-nucleotide ribosomal RNA is filed under the name uncultured bacterium. RNAcentral's name for it is "partial 16S ribosomal RNA". It matches the Rfam family "Bacterial small subunit ribosomal RNA", at positions 29 to 507 of the family's 1533-position model. The record is from RNAcentral.